Molecule: ribosomal RNA, 397 nt
Filed under: uncultured bacterium
Lineage: Bacteria
Description: bacterial SSU rRNA
Rfam family: Bacterial small subunit ribosomal RNA
Source: RNAcentral
UAAUACGGAGGAUGCAAGCGUUGUUCGGAAUCACUGGGCUUAAAGAGCGUGUAGGUGGAAUAUCAGGCGUCGGGUGAAAUCCCUCGGCUCAACCGAGGAACUGCCUGGCGAACCGGUAUUCUUGAGGCAGGUAGAGGUGGCUGGAACGACUGGUGGAGCGGUGAAAUGCGUAGAUAUCAGUUGGAACGCCGGCGGCGAAAGCGAGCCACUGGGCCUGUCCUGACACUGAGACGCGAAAGCGUGGGGAGCAAACAGGAUUAGAUACCCUGGUAGUCCACGCCGUAAACGAUGCGCACUAGGUAUGAGAGGUUUUAACGCCGAUCGUGCCGGAGCAAAAGUGCUAAGUGCGCCGCCUGGGGAGUACGGCCGCAAGGCUAAAACUCAAAUGAAUUGACGG